UCAUAUAGCUACUUCUAAGCAUUUAUUCAACUUGGCCCCUUCACCAGUCAUUACUUCUUAAUUAGUGGAAAUGAAAAUGAGUAAUGUUCUUAUGCUCCUGGUGAAGUUCAUUUCCCCUCUUAUAACCAGAUACCAGCUAGAAUGCUGAUUGUGCAAUAGCUUCCCAUAAUAUACCAUAGCUAAGCCAAUAAUCACUUCUUACUUUGUAGUCCUUCACAUGUGCUCCAUUUCCUCUUCCUCCUCAUCUUCAUACUCCUCAUCAGCAGUAGCAUCCUGGUACUGCUGGUACUCAGACACCAGAUCAUUCAUGUUGCUUUCAGCUUCAGUAAACUCCAUCUCAUCCAUUCCUUCACCAGUAUACCAGUGCAAGAAGGCCUUUCUCCUGAACAUGGCAGUGAAUUGUUCACUCACUCUCCUGAACAUUUCCUGGAUAGAGGUAGAGUUCCCAAUGAAGGUGGAUGACAUGGAGAGGCCCCUAGGUGGAAUGUCACAGACGCUGGAUUUCACAUUAUUUGGAAUCCACUCAACAAAGUAUGAUGAGUUUUUGUUUUGGACAUUGAUCAUCUGCUCAUCAACUUCCUUGGUGCUCAUCUUUCCACGGAACAUGGCAGAGGCAGUAAGAUAACGUCCAUGCCUUGGAUCAGCAGCACACAUCAUGUUCUUGGCAUC
RNAcentral lists this unclassified non-coding RNA (669 nucleotides) under Hevea brasiliensis (rubber tree). The record is from RNAcentral. Lineage: Eukaryota; Viridiplantae; Streptophyta; Magnoliopsida; Malpighiales; Euphorbiaceae.